This 613-nucleotide ribosomal RNA is filed under the name uncultured bacterium. RNAcentral describes it as "bacterial SSU rRNA". It matches the Rfam family "Bacterial small subunit ribosomal RNA", at positions 338 to 945 of the family's 1533-position model. The record is from RNAcentral.
CCUACGGGAGGCAGCAGUAAGGAAUAUUGGUCAAUGGAGGCAACUCUGAACCAGCCAUGCCGCGUGCAGGAUGACGGCCCUAUGGGUUGUAAACUGCUUUUAUACAAGAGAAAACCCUGGUACGUGUACCAGGUUGAUAGUAUUGUAAGAAUAAGCAUCGGCUAACUUCGUGCCAGCAGCCGCGGUAAGACGAAGGAUGCAAGCGUUAUCCGGAUUCAUUGGGUUUAAAGGGUGCGUAGGCGGACUGAUAAGUCAGUGGUGAAAUCUCUUUGCUUAACAAAGAAACUGCCAUUGAUACUGUCGGUCUAGAGUAUAGAUGACGUUGGCGGAAUAUGACAUGUAGUGGUGAAAUACUUAGAUAUGUCAUAGAACACCGAUUGCGAAGGCAGCUAACGAAACUAUAACUGACGCUGAGGCACGAAAGUGCGGGGAUCAAACAGGAUUAGAUACCCUGGUAGUCCGCACCGUAAACGAUGAUUACUCGUUGUUGGCGAUAUGACAGUCAGCGACCAAGCGAAAGCGAUAAGUAAUCCAACCUGGGGAGUACGCCGGCAACGGUGAAAACUCAAAAUGAGUAGAGACGNGAGAGNGCGAGGACGACACAGGGAGGAGG